ACUCCUUUUUUAGCUUCUCCCAUACUUCUUUAGGUGUUUCACAAGCCAUUAUUCUUGUGAAAAUCACAUCUGAAAGUGUUGAAUGAAGACAUGUGAGAGCCUUGGGUUUCCUUGACUUCGCAUCUUCAUAAAUCUUCAUUUGUGCAACUGUUGGAUUUGGUCCAAGUGGAAGAGGAUCAUCUUCACUUUCAAUUAUUUCCCAUAGACUAAGAGCUUUGAGAUAAGCCUUCAUCUUUAUCACCCAUAUGUGAUAAUUUUCUCCUGUAAA
This 268-nucleotide long non-coding RNA is filed under the name Solanum tuberosum (potato). RNAcentral's name for it is "long non-coding RNA (STUB_LNC004904)". Lineage: Eukaryota; Viridiplantae; Streptophyta; Magnoliopsida; Solanales; Solanaceae. The record is from RNAcentral.